Molecule: ribosomal RNA, 23 nt
Filed under: Blumea balsamifera
Lineage: Eukaryota; Viridiplantae; Streptophyta; Magnoliopsida; Asterales; Asteraceae
Description: partial 28S ribosomal RNA
Source: RNAcentral
CGACCCCAGGUCAGGUGGGACUA